UUGGAAAGUAAUCAUCCAUUUAUGGACAAAAUAGGCUGAGCACUUGCAGUGACAUGCUUGCUUCUUCUUCACUGACCUGCCAAGUGCUGGAACACUUUUCCAAAAGAGCACAUCUGGAAGGAAGAGUUCUUAACCAUUAAGGGGCAAAU
Molecule: small RNA, 149 nt
Filed under: Nannospalax galili (Upper Galilee mountains blind mole rat)
Lineage: Eukaryota; Metazoa; Chordata; Mammalia; Rodentia; Spalacidae
Description: TUC338 (ENSNGAG00000002491.1)
Source: RNAcentral